This 23-nucleotide non-coding RNA is filed under the name Gallus gallus (chicken). The record is from RNAcentral. RNAcentral also lists the same sequence under 1 other name. Lineage: Eukaryota; Metazoa; Chordata; Aves; Galliformes; Phasianidae.
UAGCUUAUUAGACUGAUGUUGAC